RNAcentral lists this ribosomal RNA (254 nucleotides) under uncultured bacterium. RNAcentral describes it as "partial 16S ribosomal RNA". It matches the Rfam family "Bacterial small subunit ribosomal RNA", at positions 524 to 776 of the family's 1533-position model. The record is from RNAcentral.
UACGUAGGGGGCGAGCGUUGUCCGGAUUUAUUGGGCGUAAAGGGCUCGUAGGCGGCUUGACAAGUCGAUCGUGAAAACUCAGGGCUCAACCCUGAGACGCCGGUCGAUACUGUCAUGGCUAGGGUCCGGUAGAGGAGAAUGGAAUUCCCGGUGUAGCGGUGAAAUGCGCAGAUAUCGGGAGGAACACCAGUAGCGAAGGCGGUUCUCUGGGCCGGUACCGACGCUGAGGAGCGAAAGCGUGGGGAGCAAACAGG